This 253-nucleotide ribosomal RNA is filed under the name uncultured bacterium. Its description in RNAcentral is "partial 16S ribosomal RNA". It matches the Rfam family "Bacterial small subunit ribosomal RNA", at positions 524 to 776 of the family's 1533-position model. The record is from RNAcentral.
UACGUAGGGUGCAAGCGUUAAUCGGAAUUACUGGGCGUAAAGCGUGCGCAGGCGGUUAUGCAAGACAAAGGUGAAAUCCCCGGGCUCAACCUGGGAACUGCCUUUGUGACUGCAUAGCUAGAGUACGGUAGAGGGGGAUGGAAUUCCGCGUGUAGCAGUGAAAUGCGUAGAUAUGCGGAGGAACACCGAUGGCGAAGGCAAUCCCCUGGACCUGUACUGACGCUCAUGCACGAAAGCGUGGGGAGCAAACAGG